RNAcentral lists this ribosomal RNA (503 nucleotides) under uncultured bacterium. RNAcentral describes it as "partial 16S ribosomal RNA". It matches the Rfam family "Bacterial small subunit ribosomal RNA", at positions 30 to 523 of the family's 1533-position model. The record is from RNAcentral.
AUUGAACGCUGGCGGCAGGCUUAACACAUGCAAGUCGAGCGGGGUGAUGGUGCUUGCACUAUCACUUAGCGGCGGACGGGUGAGUAAUGCUUAGGAAUCUGCCUAUUAGUGGGGGACAACAUCUCGAAAGGGAUGCUAAGAUCGCAUACGUCCUACGGGAGAAAGCAGGGGAUCACUUGUGACCUUGCGCUAAUAGAUGAGCUAACGUCGGAUUAGCUAGUUGGUGGGGUAAAGGCCUACCAAGGCGACGAUCUGUAGCGGGUCUGAGAGGAUGAUCCGCCACACUGGGACUGAGACUCGGCCCAGACUCCUACGGGAGGCAGCAGUGGGGAAUAUUGGACAAUGGGGGGAACCCUGAUCCAGCCAUGCCGCGUGUGUGAAGAAGGCCUUAUGGUUGUAAAGCACUUUAAGCGAGGAGGAGGCUCUUUUGGUUAAUACCCAAGAUGAGUGGACGUUACUCGCAGAAUAAGCACCGGCUAACUCUGUGCCAGCAGCCGCCGUAA